UUGACGCGGUGUGGGCGAGCGGUUUAUGGGAAGAGCUGGUAGCCUGGCCGGUAUGGACGGCGUUAGCAAUGGACGGGCUCGAUGUGUCGCUGACAGUGGGCCCCACGCGAGGUGGGAAUGCGUCAACUAUGACAUCCUGUUUGUCACCGUCUGGUUAUGGGAGGCUGGCAGGGGACGCACGCCGGCGGCGGGAGAGAGCGCGUCCGGCCGUGGGAGGAGGCGGCGGGAGAGAGCGCAGUGGGGGAGGAGCAACGCUGGUGACGGUCGACAGUGAGGGAGGAGGCGGACGCGCUCUCUCCCGCCGCCUCCUCCCUCUCCUCACGACAGCAGUUGUCCUCUCGGCGCCACCGCCUUCGAGCUCCCCCCAGCCCGAUUCCGACGUCGCCGCCUCCUCCUCCAGCCCGGCGGCGCCGCCUCCGAGCUCCCCCCUAGCCCGACUCCGGCGUCGCCGCCUCCUCCCUUAGCCCGACGCCGCCGCCUCCGAGCCCCAACCCAUCGCCGACUCCUGCCCCGGGCCCGAUGCCGCCUCCGCCGCCUCCUCCCCGGCCUGACGUCGCCACCGCCUGCUCCCCAGCGACCACCGCCACUCUCGCCGCCGUCCAGCGCGGGUCGCUGCCCCACCACCUCGCGCCGCCGCCGGCCAGCACCAAACCCCUCUCGUGUGCCUACAUGAGAUAGAGAGGAGGGUGUGAGAUAGAGAACAGGGGCAAUAUAGUCUAUUCAUAAUUAAAGUUUAUUUUUUUAUUUUAUUUACUCUAAACCCUAACGGUAUAAAUUAACGAUGGUCAGACAACUGCUUCGUCUUCGUCUUAAAAAAGAAUGGUCAAAUCUGCAAAACUGGAAAAGAAGGAAGCAAAGUGGAAAUGAAAUUUUGAUAGGACAAAGGGGACAGGCAAGCAUGGCAUUGUCUAAAGUGUUAAGCGAAGCGAACACAAGUACGCAGCACAUUCAUCGGUUUUGCAUCCACGCCGGAACACCAUGGUUAAUAAUCGCCAUGAUUAUGUCAUGAGGAAAAUAAAAUCAUGUCCAUCCUCUAUCAGAUGCAGCUUCACUUGACUUGUACAAUACCCCAAACAAGCGUAGGCCUCUUUUGCCAUCCUAGCCUGAAAAAACCUGCAAGCU
Molecule: long non-coding RNA, 1122 nt
Organism: Oryza brachyantha (malo sina)
Lineage: Eukaryota; Viridiplantae; Streptophyta; Magnoliopsida; Poales; Poaceae
Exons: 3
Source: RefSeq, a predicted model, not a curated record